CCCAGCCUGUGCCCCUGGGGCUCAGUCCUCCGACGACACUGGCUCCCUUACUGACCAUCCUGUCACAGAACUUUAACCUGCGUCUCUGCCAGCAGGACACCUCAGCUACUCCCUGCAGCCUGGGCCUGCCCAUGAACUCCAGGCGCCUGAUUCACUUGCUUCUACAGCAUCUCCGCUUGGGCAACUAACAGGCAUCUCAUACCUCUCACGUCCAGAACCGGACUCCUGCUCUUCCCACCUGCAAACCUGACCACUCCCCACUUCUCAGAUCAAAUCCCAAGCCUGGACCUUGACUCUCUUCUCUCUUUGUCUCAGCCCCACUCAAUCUAUUCGGCUAUCUCGCCAAAUAUCGCUGCCUCCAAAAUAUAACCGAGUCUAACCAGUUCUCUCCAUAUCCUCCCCACCACUCUGGGCCCACCCACCACCAUCCGCAUUGAUGACUGUGACCUCCCAAAGGUCCCCGUUUUCACCCUGCCUGCCUGGCGUCAGUGCUCAGCAGCCCAGGGAUCCAGGUCUCACUUGCGGCACGUGGGAAUUUUAGUUGCUGCGUGCACACUCGUAGUUGCAGCACGUGGGAUUAAGUUCCCUGACCAGCGAUGGAACCCCAGCCCUCUGCAUUAGGAGCACAGAGUCUUAGCCACUGGACCACCAGGGGAAGUCCUUUAAUUGCUACAGCUGUCACUGCCGUCCUGAUCUGGCCUUGGUCCCCGUAUUGGCUGCCCCUCCUCCCAGACAGGACACUCAGGCCGGGCUGGUCAGCUCCAAGCCCCUCCCCGGGGUCCAUUCUGAGCCAGUCCUUGCAGUUGAGACAUCCUGCUCCCAAGUCUAGCCCAGGUGCCUCCAACUGUGGGCCCAGAUCUUGGAGCCCAUGCCCUCCCCAUUUUCUUGACAGAAUGAACUCCAGGAGGCCAGCAAGUCCUCCUGGGCCAGAGACCCAGGCAAGGCCUUCAGGGGAAAAGCUGGACUGGAUGUAUCUGGAGGGAGGAAGAGGCAAUUGGAGGGGCUGGGAAGCGGGAUUUCUCUGUCUCCUCAGUUCCUCUGGGCUUCCCAGAUUCCCUGAGGUCUGAACACUGUGCCAGCAUGGGGAUGAAAAGAGACCAAGCCCACCACCUCAUCCCCUCAGGCCUAAGGGAAGGCCAGUCUUCCUGCCUCGUUCUGUCCACCCCAGGCCCCCAGCACUGAUGUCCCUCCUCCACCAGCCCCUGCCUCCUCCACAGAGGAUGGCUGAAUGGCCAUUGCAAGUCAGGCCCUUCUAGAUGUUGGAGAUACAACUACAGGUGGAGCCCUGGCUACUGGUCUGGGCCUCAGCUCCGGCCCAGAGUGCCCCUCCACACUGAGUCCAGAGAUGCAGAGAAGGCAGAUUUGACCCUGUUAAAUCGCGGAGGCCCGACUGAAGCGACUUAGCAGCAGCAGCAGCAGCUUCUUGGGGAGAGGUCAGGCCUGUCCCCACCGGCCCUGCCCUUCUCGCUCAUCAUACCCCCGGGAUGUGCAUGUGCCGGAGAGGCUCUCUCCCUGGGGCUCAGGCCUCCCCUCCUCUAGGAUUUUGGGGCCUUGAACACGUUCCCAGCCACCCUGCCCCCCUCUCUUCCUCCGGGCUUGGAGGUCACCUUCCCCGGGCCAGUAGACGCCCCCCGCCACCACAUGUGCUAUCCUGCGGAGCCCUGCGGUCCCCUCUCCCGCCCCUCACCCCGUGAGGGCUGGGACCGCGCCAGUCCUGUUCCGCGGCAUCCCCAGCGCCCCACAAAUCCGUGUCGAAUGAAUGAAUGUCUCCGGGCCCGAGCCUCGGCCUCAUUCAAGUCAGAUCUUCCGGGCCCUCCCCGGCCCGGCUCCGCCCUGGGUGGGGUUGGGUGCGGGGGCCGGAGCGCCGUGGAUCGCCGCCAGGGAGGUGACGGG
Ovis aries (sheep) is the source of this 1893-nucleotide long non-coding RNA. The record is from Ensembl. NCBI's taxonomy places the organism in Eukaryota, Metazoa, Chordata, Mammalia, Artiodactyla, Bovidae.